GGGUGAGAAUAUGGUGCAAGGGUUUGAAUGUUGGACUAUCACUCUGGAGACCAGGGUUUGAUUCCCAGCUCGGCCA
Phrynosoma platyrhinos (Desert horned lizard) is the source of this 76-nucleotide non-coding RNA. Lineage: Eukaryota; Metazoa; Chordata; Lepidosauria; Squamata; Phrynosomatidae. The record is from the annotation of a GenBank genome assembly.